UGGGCCUCAAAUAAUGUGUGACUACCC
Molecule: ribosomal RNA, 27 nt
Filed under: Anopheles cruzii
Lineage: Eukaryota; Metazoa; Arthropoda; Insecta; Diptera; Culicidae
Also listed under: 2 other names
Description: partial 28S ribosomal RNA
Source: RNAcentral